RNAcentral lists this ribosomal RNA (242 nucleotides) under uncultured fungus. RNAcentral describes it as "partial 18S ribosomal RNA". The stretch from base 77 to 242 matches the Rfam family "Eukaryotic small subunit ribosomal RNA", at positions 738 to 905 of the family's 1831-position model. Lineage: Eukaryota; Fungi. The record is from RNAcentral.
GUCCGCCUCACCGCGUGCACUGGUCCGGCCGGGCCUUUCCUCCUGGGGAGCCGCAUGCCCUUCACUGGGUGUGUCGGGGAACCAGGACUUUUACUUUGAAAAAAUUAGAGUGUUCAAAGCAGGCCUAUGCUCGAAUACAUUAGCAUGGAAUAAUAGAAUAGGACGUGUGGUUCUAUUUUGUUGGUUUCUAGGACCGCCGUAAUGUUUAAUAGGGAUAGUCGGGGGCAUCAGUAUUCAAUUGU